CCUACGGGAGGCAGCAGUGGGGAAUAUUGCACAAUGGGGGCAACCCUGAUGCAGCGACGCCGCGUGAGUGAAGAAGUAAUUCGUUAUGGUAAGCUCCUUCAGCAGGGCAGAAAAUGACGGUACCUGAGUCAGAAUCCCCGGCUAACUACGGGCCAGCAGACGCGGUAAUACGUAGGGGGCAAGCGUUAUCCGGAUUUACUGGGUGUAAAGGGAGCGUAGACGGCAGUGCAAGUCUGGAGUGAAAGGCGGGGGCUCAACCCCCGGACUGCUCUGGAGACUGUACGGCUGGAGUGCAGGAGAGGUAAGUGGAAUUCGUGGUGUAGCGGUGAAAUGCGUAGAUAUUAGGAGGAACACCAGUGGCGAAGGCGGCUUACUGGACUGUAACUGACGUUGAGGCUCGAAAGCGUGGGGAGCAAACAGGAUUAGAUACCCUUGUAGUC
This 440-nucleotide ribosomal RNA is filed under the name uncultured bacterium. RNAcentral's name for it is "partial 16S ribosomal RNA". It matches the Rfam family "Bacterial small subunit ribosomal RNA", at positions 338 to 795 of the family's 1533-position model. The record is from RNAcentral.